CCGCCCUGGAGAGUACGCACGCAAGUGUGAAACUCAAAAGGAAAUUGACGGGGGCCCGCACAUAGCGGUGGAGUAUGUGGUUUAAAUUCGAUGCAUACGCGAAAGAAACCCUUACCAGGGUUUGACAUCCUGCGAAUCUCUUGGAUAACAGGAGAGUGCCUUCGGGAACGCAGUGACAGGUGGUGCAUGGCUGUCGUCAGCUCGUGUCGUGAGAUGUUGGGUUAAGUCCCGCAACGAGCGCAACCCACGUCUUUAGUUGCCAGCAUUUAGUUGGGCACUCUAGAGAGACUGCCGGUGAUAAACCGGAGGAAGGUGUGGAUGACGUCAAGUCAUCAUGCCCCUUACAUCCUGGGCUACACACGUACUACAAUGCUACGGACAAAGGGCAGCAAGUUCGCGAGGACAAGCAAAUCCCAUAAACCGUGGCUCAGUUCAGAUCGUAGGCUGCAACUCGCCUACGUGAAGGCGGAAUCGCUAGUAAUCGCAGGUCAGCAUACUGCGGUGAAUACGUUCCCGGGCCUUGUACACACCGCCCGUCACACCAUGGAAGUUGGCCACGCCCGAAGCCGUUACUCCAACCCUUGUGGAGGAGGACGUCGAAGGUGGGGCUGAUGACUGGGGUGAAGUCGUAACAAGGUAACCAAGGGCGAAUUCGCG
Molecule: ribosomal RNA, 657 nt
Filed under: uncultured Synechococcus sp.
Lineage: Bacteria; Bacillati; Cyanobacteriota; Cyanophyceae; Synechococcales; Synechococcaceae
Description: bacterial SSU rRNA
Rfam family: Bacterial small subunit ribosomal RNA
Source: RNAcentral